CGGCUCUCUCUGGGUAUGGGCAAGUCCUCCUGGUUUGUCAAGGAGAUGAAAACACUGGGCACCCCUUAACAAUGUGAGUGGCCCAUAGGUCAGAACAAAGGGCUCCAAACUCCACAGCUGAGUCGGAAAUGUGCAGUGCCUGUAGAGGUGGAGGGGUAGAGGGGUCUACUCAUGUGUCACAAAGAUGUGACAUUUUCCCUGCUUGGUUUCAUCUAACCCACUUAAACCAUAGCAAUCACCGGAUCCAUGGUCCUAGGGAAGAAGAAGUGUUGAGCAAACUGCUAAUCUCUCUGCCUGGAUGGUCUGGUGAGGGAGUUGAGCUGUCUAGGCAAGGUGGGACAAGGCAGUGCCCCUGGUAAGAAAGAAAUGGUAGGAAAGGGAGGAGACACACAGAGGCCUGCUUGAAUAGGCCAGGUCUUGCUCCCUCGGCCUCAGGCUGAGGUACAGUUAGGACCUGGAAAGGGGGGCAGCAGUUCCCCAUUCAGCAGGCAUUUCAGAGCGGCUCGAUUUUGGUGCAGUGCAUUGACUGAAGCAGUCGCUGCUUUUCCCUGCCUUUCUGGGAACUAUUUUCUCCUCUGUUGGGGGCCGGGAAGAGUGACAGAAAUGCAUCUAGGUCCCUGAUGUAGGCAAGAUACAUUCAAAUACCACACUUAAGCCUCCUACGGCUGACAAGAGCCCUGAGUCCCCAGCUAUGGGACAGUCAGCCACUGCCCAGUCUGACAGUGUUUGUGGACUGGCUGCAGGACAUGGGAUGGGCAGGGCCAUAGACAGCAACUCUCCUGAAACACACACACGGUUCCCUUCAGAGGCAAUGUGGCUGGCAAGGGAAGGCCUCUCUGAUCUGCGGUCUACUCUCCUCUCACAGUGCCUUCGACCAUCCGUGCCAGAACUUCGGGGGCCAUCCUCGUGGGAACUUUCCCCAUCUCCAGGAUGCACUGAUGCUCCAGGGCCUGAACAGUUUCAUGGCUCCAGCUCCUGCUACAGCACCUGCACAGGAUGGUCUGGAGCUGCUUCCAUUUUCAGAUAUUAGACUAGGUUUGGAGUUUGAAGAAGCAUCAUGGUGCAUUUGUGGAACUCCAACCCUGAGUUUUCACUUCGUGUCUGUA
Molecule: long non-coding RNA, 1106 nt
Filed under: Dasypus novemcinctus (nine-banded armadillo)
Lineage: Eukaryota; Metazoa; Chordata; Mammalia; Cingulata; Dasypodidae
Description: lncRNA (ENSDNOG00000051604.1)
Source: RNAcentral